AGCGAACGCUGGCGGCAGGCCUAACACAUGCAAGUCGAACGGAUCCUUCGGGAUUAGUGGCGGACGGGUGAGUAACACGUGGGAACGUGCCCUUUGGUUCGGAACAACUCAGGGAAACUUGAGCUAAUACCGGAUGUGCCCUUCGGGGGAAAGAUUUAUCGCCAUUGGAGCGGCCCGCGUCUGAUUAGCUAGUUGGUGAGGUAAAGGCUCACCAAGGCGACGAUCAGUAGCUGGUCUGAGAGGAUGAUCAGCCACAUUGGGACUGAGACACGGCCCAAACUCCUACGGGGGGCAGCAGUGGGGAAUCUUGCGCAAUGGGCGAAAGCUUGACGCAGCCAUGCCGCGUGAAUGAUGAAGGUCUUAGGAUUGUAAAAUUCUUUCACCGGGGACGAUAAUGACGGUACCCGGAGAAGAAGCCCCGGCUAACUUCGUGCCAGCCGCCGCGGUAA
This 449-nucleotide ribosomal RNA is filed under the name uncultured bacterium. Its description in RNAcentral is "partial 16S ribosomal RNA". It matches the Rfam family "Bacterial small subunit ribosomal RNA", at positions 29 to 523 of the family's 1533-position model. The record is from RNAcentral.